AACGAACGCUGGCGGCAUGCCUAACACAUGCAAGUCGAACGAGACCUUCGGGCCUAGUGGCGCACGGGUGCGUAACGCGUGGGAAUCUGCCCUUGGGUUCGGAAUAACAGUUGGAAACGACUGCUAAUACCGGAUGAUGACGUAAGUCCAAAGAUUUAUCGCCCAAGGAUGAGCCCGCGUAGGAUUAGCUAGUUGGUGAGGUAAAGGCUCACCAAGGCGACGAUCCUUAGCUGGUCUGAGAGGAUGAUCAGCCACACUGGGACUGAGACACGGCCCAGACUCCUACGGGAGGCAGCAGUGGGGAAUAUUGGACACUGGGCGAAAGCCUGAUCCAGCAAUGCCGCGUGAGUGAUGAAGGCCUUAGGGUUGUAAAGCUCUUUUACCCGGGAUGAUAAUGACGGUACCGGGAGAAUAAGCACCGGCUAACUCCGUG
This 433-nucleotide ribosomal RNA is filed under the name uncultured bacterium. RNAcentral's name for it is "partial 16S ribosomal RNA". It matches the Rfam family "Bacterial small subunit ribosomal RNA", at positions 29 to 507 of the family's 1533-position model. The record is from RNAcentral.